Molecule: ribosomal RNA, 492 nt
Filed under: uncultured bacterium
Lineage: Bacteria
Description: partial 16S ribosomal RNA
Rfam family: Bacterial small subunit ribosomal RNA
Source: RNAcentral
AGUGAACGCUGGCGGUAGGCCUAACACAUGCAAGUCGAACGGCAGCACAGUAAGAGCUUGCUCUUACGGGUGGCGAGUGGCGGACGGGGGAGGCAUACAUCGGAAUCUACUUUUUCGUGGGGGAUAACGUAGGGAAACUUACGCUAAUACCGCAUACGACCUACGGGUGAAAGCAGGGGAUCUUCGGACCUUGCGCGAUUGGAUGAGCCGAUGUCGGAUUAGCUAGUUGGCGGGGUAAAGGCCCACCAAGGCGACGAUCCGUAGCGGGUCUGAGAGGAUGAUCAGCCACACUGGCAGUGAGACACGGUCCAGACUCUGACGGGAGGCAGCAGUGGGGAAUAUUGGACAAUGGGCGAAAGCCUGAUACAGCCAUACCGCGUGGGUGAAGAAGGACUUCGGGUGGUAAAGCCCAGUUGUAGGGAAAGAAAAGCAGCAGGUUAAGACCCCGCUGUUCUGACGGUACCCAAAGAAUAAGCACCGGCUAACUUCGUG